RNAcentral lists this ribosomal RNA (253 nucleotides) under uncultured Eubacteriales bacterium. Its description in RNAcentral is "uncultured Clostridiales bacterium partial 16S ribosomal RNA". It matches the Rfam family "Bacterial small subunit ribosomal RNA", at positions 524 to 776 of the family's 1533-position model. Lineage: Bacteria; Bacillati; Bacillota; Clostridia; Eubacteriales. The record is from RNAcentral.
UACGUAGGGGGCAAGCGUUAUCCGGAUUUACUGGGUGUAAAGGGAGCGUAGACGGAAUUGCAAGUCUGAUGUGAAAAUCCGGGGCCCAACCCCGGAACUGCAUUGGAAACUGUAUUUCUAGAGUGUCGGAGAGGCAAGUGGAAUUCCUGGUGUAGCGGUGAAAUGCGUAGAUAUUAGGAGGAACAUCAGUGGCGAAGGCGACUAUCUGGACAGCAACUGACACUGAGGCACGAAAGCGUGGGGAGCAAACAGG